CGAACGCUGGCGGCGUGCUUAACACAUGCAAGUCGAACGAGAGGACAAGAGAAGCUUGCUUCUUUUGGAAUCGAGUGGCAAACGGGUGAGUAACACGUAAACAACCUGCCUUCAGGAUGGGGACAACAGACGGAAACGACUGCUAAUCCGAAUACGCUUGGAAGACCGCAUGAUCUUCCAAGGAAAGGGUGGCCUCUACUUGUAAGCUAUCGCCUGAAGAGGGGUUUGCGUCUGAUUAGGUAGUUGGUGAGGUAACGGCCCACCAAGCCGACGAUCAGUAGCCGGUCUGAGAGGAUGAACGGCCACACUGGAACUGAGACACGGUCCAGACUCCUACGGGAGGCAGCAGUGGGGAAUCUUCCGCAAUGGGCGACAGCCUGACGGAGCAACGCCGCGUGAGUGAAGAAGGCCUUCGGGUCGUAAAGCUCUGUUGAAGGGGACGAAUGUUGCGCUUAUCAACAACGAGUGCAAAUGACGGUACCUUUCGAGGAAGCCACGGCUAACUACGUG
Molecule: ribosomal RNA, 510 nt
Filed under: uncultured bacterium
Lineage: Bacteria
Description: bacterial SSU rRNA
Rfam family: Bacterial small subunit ribosomal RNA
Source: RNAcentral